Molecule: ribosomal RNA, 460 nt
Filed under: uncultured bacterium
Lineage: Bacteria
Description: partial 16S ribosomal RNA
Rfam family: Bacterial small subunit ribosomal RNA
Source: RNAcentral
CCUACGGGAGGCUGCAGUGAGGAAUAUUGGUCAAUGGGCGCGAGCCUGAACCAGCCAAGUAGCGUGAAGGAUGACUGCCCUACGGGUUGUAAACUUCUUUUAUAAAGGAAUAAAGUGAGGCACGUGUGCCUUUUUGUAUGUCCUUUAUGAAUAAGGAUCGGCUAACUCCGUGCCAGCAGCCGCGGUAAUACGGAGGAUCCGAGCGUUAUCCGGAUUUAUUGGGUUUAAAGGGAGCGUAGAUGGGUUGUUAAGUCAGUUGUGAAAGGUUGGGGCUCAACCGUAAAAGUGCAAUUGAUACUGGCAGCCUUGAGUACAGGUGAGGUAGGCGGAAUGCGUGGUGUAGCGGUGAAAUGCUUAGAUAUCACGAAGAACUCCGAUUGCGAAGGCAGCCUACUAGACUGCCACUGACGUUGAGGCUCGAAAGUGUGGGUAUCAAACAGGAUUAGAUACCCCAGUAGUC